UCCGGCUUAUCACCGGCAGUCACCUUAGAGUGCCCAACUAAAUGAUGGCAACUAAGGCCGAGGGUUGCGCUCGUUGCGGGACUUAACCCAACAUCUCACGACAUGAGCUGACGACAGCCAUGCAGCACCUGUAUAGGACCCUUACGGACCCCCCAUCUCUGAUGCUUUCCGGUGUAUGUCAAGCCUUGGUAAGGUUCUUCGCGUUGCGUCGAAUUAAGCCACAUGCUCCGCUGCUUGUGCGGGCCCCCGUCAAUUCCUUUGAGUUUUAGCCUUGCGGCCGUACUCCCCAGGCGGGGAACUUAAUGCGUUAGCUGCGGCACCGACGACGUGGAAUGUCGCCAACACCUAGUUCCCAACGUUUACGGCGUGGACUAC
This 375-nucleotide unclassified non-coding RNA is filed under the name uncultured Actinomycetes bacterium. RNAcentral describes it as "uncultured actinobacterium contains 16S-23S intergenic spacer region". Lineage: Bacteria; Bacillati; Actinomycetota; Actinomycetes. The record is from RNAcentral.